UUACGGCCACAUCACACUGAAAGAUCGGUUCCCGUAAGAUCCCCGAAGUUAAACAACACCGAGCCUGGUCAGUACCUAUAUGGGUAACCGAUUGAGAAUACUAGAUACUGUAA
Molecule: non-coding RNA, 113 nt
Organism: Acanthosepion pharaonis
Lineage: Eukaryota; Metazoa; Mollusca; Cephalopoda; Sepiida; Sepiidae
Source: the annotation of a GenBank genome assembly